Molecule: ribosomal RNA, 253 nt
Filed under: uncultured bacterium
Lineage: Bacteria
Description: partial 16S ribosomal RNA
Rfam family: Bacterial small subunit ribosomal RNA
Source: RNAcentral
UACGGAGGGGGCGAGCGUUAUUCGGAAUUAUUGGGCGUAAAGGGCGCGUAGGCGGCUUGAUGUGUCAAAGGUGAAAUCCCUCGGCUCAACUGAGGAACUGCCUUUGAAACUGUCUGGCUUGAGGCCGGGAGAGGGUAGCGGAAUUCCCAGUGUAGCGGUGAAAUGCGUAGAUACUGGGAGGAACACCAGUGGCGAAGGCGGCUACCUGGACCGGUUCUGACGCUGAUGCGCGAAAGCGUGGGUAGCAAACAGG